UACGUAGGCAGCGAGCGUUGUUCGGAAUUACUGGGCGUAAAGAGUGUGUAGGCGGUGCUCCCAGUCUGUUGUGAAAUCUCCCGGCUUAACUGGGAGGGUGCAGCGGAAACUAGAGUGCUAGAGGGUGGGAGAGGUAAGCGGAAUUCCUGGUGUAGCGGUGAAAUGCGUAGAUAUCGGGAGGAACACCGGUGGCGAAGGCGGUUCUCUGGGCCUGUACUGACGCUGAGGAGCGAAAGCGUGGGGAGCGAACAGG
RNAcentral lists this ribosomal RNA (253 nucleotides) under uncultured bacterium. RNAcentral describes it as "partial 16S ribosomal RNA". It matches the Rfam family "Bacterial small subunit ribosomal RNA", at positions 524 to 776 of the family's 1533-position model. The record is from RNAcentral.